RNAcentral lists this transfer RNA (73 nucleotides) under Catenulispora sp. RNAcentral describes it as "tRNA-Met". It matches the Rfam family "tRNA". From Rfam's summary of the family: Transfer RNA (tRNA) molecules are approximately 80 nucleotides in length. Their secondary structure includes four short double-helical elements and three loops (D, anti-codon, and T loops). Lineage: Bacteria; Bacillati; Actinomycetota; Actinomycetes; Catenulisporales; Catenulisporaceae. The record is from RNAcentral.
AGCGCUGUGGAGCAGCUGGUAGCUCGCUGGGCUCAUAACCCAGAGGUCGCAGGUUCGAGCCCUGUCGGCGCUA